RNAcentral lists this ribosomal RNA (420 nucleotides) under bacterium. RNAcentral describes it as "partial 16S ribosomal RNA". It matches the Rfam family "Bacterial small subunit ribosomal RNA", at positions 355 to 776 of the family's 1533-position model. The record is from RNAcentral.
UGGGGGAUAUUGCACAAUGGGCGAAAGCCUGAUGCAGCGACGCCGCGUGGGGGAUGAAGGCUUUCGGGUUGUAAACCUCUUUCGCUAUCGAACAAGGCCCGCUUAGGGUGGGUUGAGGGUAGGUGGAGAAGAAGCGCCGGCUAACUACGUGCCAGCAGCCGCGGUAAUACGUAGGGCGCGAGCGUUGUCCGGAAUUAUUGGGCGUAAAGGGCUUGUAGGCGGCUUGUUGCGCCUGCUGUGAAAACGCGGGGCUUAACUUCGCGCGUGCAGUGGGUACGGGCAGGCUUGAGUGUGGUAGGGGUGACUGGAAUUCCAGGUGUAGCGGUGGAAUGCGCAGAUAUCUGGAGGAACACAGAUGGCGAAGGCAGGUAACUGGGCCAUUACUGACGCUGAGGAGCGAAAGCAUGGGUAGCGAACAGG